This 525-nucleotide ribosomal RNA is filed under the name uncultured bacterium. RNAcentral's name for it is "bacterial SSU rRNA". It matches the Rfam family "Bacterial small subunit ribosomal RNA", at positions 355 to 896 of the family's 1533-position model. The record is from RNAcentral.
UGGGGAAUAUUGGACAAUGGGUGAAAGCCUGAUCCAGCAAUGCCGCGUGGGUGAAGAAGGUCUUCGGAUUGCAAAGCCCUUUCGGCGGGGACGAUGAUGACGGUACCCGCAGAAGAAGCCCCGGCUAACUUCGUGCCAGCAGCCGCGGUAAUACGUAGGGGGCGAGCGUUGUCCGGAGUUACUGGGCGUAAAGGGCACGCAGGCGGUGCUGCGCGUUUCGCGUGACAGCGGAGGGCUUAACUCUCCGAGGAUGCGAAAGACGGCAGGACUUGAGGGCCAGAGAGGGACACGGAAUUCCGGGUGGAGUGGUGAAAUGCGUAGAGAUCCGGAGGAACACCGAAGGCGAAGGCAGUGUCCUGGCUGGUGACUGACGCUGAGGUGCGAAAGCUAGGGGAGCGAACGGGAUUAGAUACCCCGGUAGUCCUAGCCGUAAACGAUGACCACCAGGUGUGGGAGGGAUCGACCCCUUCCGUGCCGGCGUUAACGCACUAAGUGGUCCGCCUGGGGGGUACGGUCGCAAGAUUA